RNAcentral lists this ribosomal RNA (472 nucleotides) under uncultured bacterium. RNAcentral describes it as "bacterial SSU rRNA". It matches the Rfam family "Bacterial small subunit ribosomal RNA", at positions 335 to 799 of the family's 1533-position model. The record is from RNAcentral.
ACUCCUACGGGAGGCAGCAGUAGGGAAUCUUCCACAAUGGACGAAAGUCUGAUGGAGCAACGCCGCGUGAACGAUGAAGGCCUCGGUCGUAAAGUUCUGUUGUAAGGGAAGAACAAGUGCCGCAGGCAAUGGCGGCACCUUGACGGUACCUUGCGAGAAAGCCACGGCUAACUACGUGCCAGCAGCCGCGGUAAUACGUAGGUGGCAAGCGUUGUCCGGAAUUAUUGGGCGUAAAGCGCGCGCAGGCGGCCUCUUAAGUCUGAUGUGAAAGCCCCCGGCUCAACCGGGGGAGGGCCAUUGGAAACUGGGAGGCUUGAGUAUAGGAGAGAAGAGUGGAAUUCCACGUGUAGCGGUGAAAUGCGUAGAGAUGUGGAGGAACACCAGUGGCGAAGGCGACUCUUUGGCCUAUAACUGACGCUGAGGCGCGAAAGCGUGGGGAGCAAACAGGAUUAGAUACCCUGGUAGGAUAGCG